Molecule: ribosomal RNA, 497 nt
Filed under: uncultured bacterium
Lineage: Bacteria
Description: partial 16S ribosomal RNA
Rfam family: Bacterial small subunit ribosomal RNA
Source: RNAcentral
GAUGAACGCUGGCGGCGUGCCUAAUACGUGCAAGUCGAGCGAACAGACGAGGAGCUUGCUCCUUCGACGUUAGCGGCGGACGGGUGAGUAACACGUAGGUAACCUACCUAUAAGACUGGGAUAACUUCGGGAAACCGGAGCUAAUACCGGAUAAUAUUUCGAACCGCAUGGUUCGAUAGUGAAAGAUGGCUUUGCUAUCACUUAUAGAUGGACCUGCGCCGUAUUAGCUAGUUGGUAAGGUAACGGCUUACCAAGGCAACGAUACGUAGCCGACCUGAGAGGGUGAUCGGCCACACUGGAACUGAGACACGGUCCAGACUCCUACGGGAGGCAGCAGUAGGGAAUCUUCCGCAAUGGGCGAAAGCCUGACGGAGCAACGCCGCGUGAGUGAUGAAGGUCUUCGGAUCGUAAAACUCUGUUAUUAGGGAAGAACAAACGUGUAAGUAACUGUGCACGUCUUGACGGUACCUAAUCAGAAAGCCACGGCUAACUACGUG